UGAAGUGCGAGGCAUGUAUUUUCCCC
This 26-nucleotide non-coding RNA is filed under the name Mus musculus (house mouse). The record is from RNAcentral. Lineage: Eukaryota; Metazoa; Chordata; Mammalia; Rodentia; Muridae.